CCUACGGGUGGCAGCAGUGGGGAAUAUUGCACAAUGGGGGAAACCCUGAUGCAGCGACGCCGCGUGAGUGAAGAAGUAUUUAGGUAUGUAAAGCUCUUUCAGCAGGGAAGAAAAUGACGGUACCUGAUUAAGAAGCCCCGGCUAACUACGUGCCAGCAGCCGCGGUAAUACGGAGGGAGCAAGCGUUAUCCGGCUUUACUGGGUGUAAAGGGAGCGUAGACGGCAGCACAAGUCUGGAGUGAAAGGCCGGGGCUUAACCCCGGAACUGUAUUGGAAACUGUGCAGCUAGAGUGCAGGUGAGGUAAGUGGAAUUCGUGGUGUAGCGGUGAAAUGCGUAGAUAUUAGGAAGAACACCAGUGGCGAAGGCAGCUUACUGGACUGUAACUGACGUUGAGGCUCGAAAGUGUGGGUAGCAAACAGGAUUAGAUACCCCUGUAGUC
Molecule: ribosomal RNA, 440 nt
Filed under: uncultured bacterium
Lineage: Bacteria
Description: partial 16S ribosomal RNA
Rfam family: Bacterial small subunit ribosomal RNA
Source: RNAcentral